Long non-coding RNA from Oenanthe melanoleuca, 932 nucleotides. RefSeq lists it as uncharacterized. The record is from RefSeq and is a predicted model, not a curated record. Lineage: Eukaryota; Metazoa; Chordata; Aves; Passeriformes; Muscicapidae. The transcript is spliced from 3 exons.
AGAGAGCCCGGGACCGGCCAAGGGGGGAAAGGGGCCGGGAGAGACCCCCGGGACCGCCGCACCCCGGGAGUGCUGCAUCCCGGGCCUGGCCAGGCGGGAAAGGGGCCGGGAGAGACCCUGGGCCUGGCGCAGCCCGGGCCCAGCGCUGCCUCACGCAGAUGAAUUUAAGGAGGUCAAAACAUGAUGGGACUCAUAGUGAAAUGACAGGAAUAAACACUGUCUGAAUCCCCUGGCUAUUCCCUUUGCCUCCAGCCAUCCAGACUGGCCUCUCCAAGUGAUAACAGUAACAGAAAGCAGAACAUAACAUCCAGGAAAGAUUUAUCAACUCCUCAGUAUUAAAGAGUACGAAACAAGAAGAUAGAAACACAGGAAGAAAUAAAAUAUAUUGACCUAAUCUACAGAAUGUCCUGCAGACAAGUCAGAAGAAAAACCAAACAAACAUCAAAGACUCAAACAAAUAUUUAAAUAAUAUAUAAACUCAUAAAUAUCCAUGUACCCCAGCAAUGUAACAAUAUAUAAAAAACAAUGGCUUACAUUGAGGCUGUGUUCUUUGGCCAAUUACCAAAAGCAUCCAGCACUAGAUAUUAUUUUGUCCCUAAUUUUAUCCCUUAUUAAACUUUAAAAUUUCUAAACUGUGAACUUUAUUUUUCAUACUUAACAACAUUAAUUCAAUAUUCAGUAUUAAUUCAGUAUUAACAGGUGCUUCUUCAGAGCCCAGACAGGGCAUGCCCUGUCCCCAGGGCAGCUCUCUGCACUUUGAAGCCCAAGUCACCCUCAGCCUGUGCAGAGAAAUAAAUAAAAACCCAACACCAGCACCAAGCUGGAGUUGAAUCUGAAACCCUUUGUUGUUUCUGCCUGGCUUGGGAACUUUUUCAGCAAUAUCUCAUCAGAGACAAUAUUUCUUCUCCUCUGACACCACUGGGGAACAGUGU